RNAcentral lists this transfer RNA (76 nucleotides) under Gammaproteobacteria bacterium. Its description in RNAcentral is "tRNA-Ala". It matches the Rfam family "tRNA". Rfam says of the family: Transfer RNA (tRNA) molecules are approximately 80 nucleotides in length. Lineage: Bacteria; Pseudomonadati; Pseudomonadota; Gammaproteobacteria. The record is from RNAcentral. RNAcentral also lists the same sequence under 3 other names.
GGGGCUAUAGCUCAGCUGGGAGAGCACCUGCUUUGCAAGCAGGGGGUCGGCGGUUCGAUCCCGCCUAGCUCCACCA